Molecule: ribosomal RNA, 460 nt
Filed under: uncultured bacterium
Lineage: Bacteria
Description: partial 16S ribosomal RNA
Rfam family: Bacterial small subunit ribosomal RNA
Source: RNAcentral
CCUACGGGAGGCAGCAGUGAGGAAUAUUGGUCAAUGGGCGGAAGCCUGAACCAGCCAAGUAGCGUGCAGGAUGACGGCCCUACGGGUUGUAAACUGCUUUUAUACGGGAAUAACGCGCCUUACGUGUAGGGCUUUGCAUGUACCGUCUGAAUAAGGACCGGCUAAGUCCGUGCCAGCAGCCGCGGUAAUACGGAAGGUCCGGGCGUUAUCCGGAUUUAUUGGGUGUAAAGGGGGCGUAGGCCGCAUGACAAGGGUGCUGUGAAAUGUUCGGGCUCAACCCGGGCCUUGCAGCGAAAACUGGCGUGCUUGAGUGAGCGGAAGGCAGGCGGAAUUCGUGGUGUAGCGGUGAAAUGCUUAGAUAUGACGAAGAACCCCGAUUGCGAAGGCAGCUUGCUGGAGCGGAACUGACGCUGAUGCUCGAAAGCGCGGGGAUCGAACAGGAUUAGAUACCCUAGUAGUC